Molecule: ribosomal RNA, 496 nt
Filed under: uncultured bacterium
Lineage: Bacteria
Description: bacterial SSU rRNA
Rfam family: Bacterial small subunit ribosomal RNA
Source: RNAcentral
GAUGAACGCUAGCGGCAGGCUUAACACAUGCAAGUCGAGGGGCAGCGUGAGGGUUAGCAAUAACCCUUGACGGCGACCGGCGCAAGGGUGCGUAACGCGUGAGCAACUUGCCCUUAUCAGGGGGAUAACCGGUGGAAACGCCGACUAAUACCCCAUGGCAUCACAUCAAGGCAUCUUUAUGUGAUUAAAGAAAUUCGGAUAAGGAUAGGCUCGCGUGACAUUAGCUAGACGGCGGGGUAACGGCCCACCGUGGCUACGAUGUCUAGGGGUUCUGAGAGGAAGGUCCCCCACACUGGAACUGAGACACGGUCCAGACUCCUACGGGAGGCAGCAGUGAGGAAUAUUGGUCAAUGGUCUGACGACUGAACCAGCCAUGCCGCGUGAAAGGUCACGGCCCUAUGGGUCUUAAACUUCUUUUGCGAGGGAGCAAUAAGGUCUACGUGUAGUCCGAUGAGAGUACCUCGCGAAUAAGCAUCGGCUAACUCCGUGCCAGCAG